This 687-nucleotide ribosomal RNA is filed under the name uncultured bacterium. Its description in RNAcentral is "bacterial SSU rRNA". It matches the Rfam family "Bacterial small subunit ribosomal RNA", at positions 57 to 719 of the family's 1533-position model. The record is from RNAcentral.
GCAGUCGAGCGCGAAAGGGAGCUUCGGCUCCUGAGUAGAGCGGCGGACGGGUGAGUAACACGUGGGCAACCUACCUCCGGGUGGGGAAUAACUUCGGGAAACCGGGGCUAAUUCCGCAUAACAUUUCGGGCUCAUAAGAGUCGGUCAUCAAAGCUGGGGACCCUUCGGGGCCUGGCGCCUGGGGAGGGGCCCGCGCCCGAUUAGCUAGUUGGUGAGGUAAUGGCUCACCAAGGCUGCGAUCGGUAGCCGGCCUGAGAGGGCGGACGGCCACACUGGGACUGAGACACGGCCCAGACUCCUACGGGAGGCAGCAGUGGGGAAUUUUUGUCAAUGGGGGAAACCCUGAACAAGCAACGCCGCGUGGAGGAUGAAGGUCUUCGGGUCGUAAACUCCUGUCGGAGGGGACGAAAGCGGCUAGGGUUAAUAACCUUAGUUGUUGACGGUACCCUAUGAGGAAGCCCCGGCUAACUCCGUGCCAGCAGCCGCGGUAAUACGGGGGGGGCAAGCGUUGUUCGGAAUUACUGGGCGUAAAGGGCGCGCAGGCGGCCCGGCAAGUCCCUUGUGAAAUCCCACGGCUCAACUGUGGAACUGCAGGGGAUACUGCCAGGCUUGAGUCCGGGAGAGGGUAGUGGAAUUCCCAGUGUAGCGGUGAAAUGCGUAGAUAUUGGGAGGAACACCGGUGGCGAA